Molecule: ribosomal RNA, 253 nt
Filed under: uncultured bacterium
Lineage: Bacteria
Description: partial 16S ribosomal RNA
Rfam family: Bacterial small subunit ribosomal RNA
Source: RNAcentral
UACGUAGGGUGCGAGCGUUAAUCGGAAUUACUGAGCGUAAAGCGUGCGCAGGCGGUUAUGCAAGACAGAUGUGAAAUCCCCGGGCUCAACCUGGGAACUGCAUUUGUGACUGCAUGGCUAGAGUGCGGCAGAGGGGGAUGGAAUUCCGCGUGUAGCAGUGAAAUGCGUAGAUAUGCGGAGGAACACCGAUGGCGAAGGCAAUCCCCUGGGCCUGCACUGACGCUCAUGCACGAAAGCGUGGGGAGCAAACAGG